This 73-nucleotide ribosomal RNA is filed under the name Mus pahari (shrew mouse). RNAcentral's name for it is "rRNA (MGP_PahariEiJ_G0032661.1)". Lineage: Eukaryota; Metazoa; Chordata; Mammalia; Rodentia; Muridae. The record is from RNAcentral.
UACAGCCAUGACACUGGAGUGUGCCUGAUCUUGUCUCAUCUCAGAAGCUAAGCAGGAUCAGGUCUGGUUAGUC